Molecule: RNA transcript, 1578 nt
Organism: Raphanus sativus (radish)
Lineage: Eukaryota; Viridiplantae; Streptophyta; Magnoliopsida; Brassicales; Brassicaceae
Gene name: bifunctional phosphatase IMPL2, chloroplastic
Exons: 11
Source: RefSeq, a predicted model, not a curated record
CUCACUCGUCCAUCGCUGCUUCCCUCAGUUACCUCUCUCAUUGCAAAUGUUAGCUCAGUCGCACUUCCUCUGCAAGUCCUUCUCUCUGAUCCCGCCGCCGUCUCCGGUGGUGCUGCGGUCUGCGACUCGCUCUCUUCGUCUCUCUUCUUCCAAUAGCAGUCGACUAUCCUUUCCAUCGUCUUCCUUGAGCGCUGCUGUUUCGAUCUCCCGCGGCCAGAUCUCCCUGGCAAUGGCUUCGAACUCGAAACGGACUGACGCACGCGACGAUUCCUCUUCGGAACCGAUCGCCACCGAUCUGGAUCGAUUCGCCGCCGUGGCGAAUGAACUGGCCGACGCUUCCGGCGAGGUCAUCAGGAAGUACUUCCGGAAGAAAUUCGAUAUUGUGGAAAAAGAUGAUAUGAGUCCUGUUACUAUAGCUGAUCAGAUGGCUGAAGAGGCCAUGGUGUCUAUUAUUUUCCACAACUUCCCUUCUCAUGCUAUAUACGGUGAGGAGAAGGGCUGGAGAUGCAAAGAAGAAUCUGCUGACUAUGUUUGGGUUUUGGACCCAAUCGACGGAACUAAGAGCUUUAUCACAGGGAAGCCUGUGUUUGGUACGUUAAUAGCUCUGCUAUACAAAGGCAAACCGAUUCUAGGUCUAAUUGAUCAGCCUAUUCUGAAAGAGAGAUGGAUAGGAAUGAGUGGAAGAAGAACUAAAUUAAAUGGGGAGAAUAUCUCAACGCGAUCUUGCCCGAAACUGUCACAAGCAUAUUUAUACACCACUAGCCCACAUCUUUUCGCUGGAGAGGCAGAAAAGGCAUUUGCUAGAGUUAGAGAUAAGGUAAAGAUGCCAUUAUACGGCUGUGAUUGUUAUGCUUAUGCUCUCCUGGCUUCUGGAUUUGUCGAUCUUGUUAUUGAAUCUGGUCUAAAGCCAUAUGAUUUCCUAGCUUUGGUACCUGUAAUAGAAGGGGCUGGAGGUACCAUAACCGAUUGGAAUGGUAACCCACCUCUUUGGGAAGCUUCAUCCAGUGCCGUUGCUACAAGCUUUAAUGUAGUCGCAGCAGGAGAUUCAGACAUUCAUCAGCAAGCAUUGGAGUCACUUGAGUGGCACUGAAAAGCUUUCACUGGAGAGGAAGUAUAGGUGAGAAAAGAUUAGGGUCAGUCACAGAUUGUGGAAAAAAAUCAGAGAACCAUGAAAGGGAGAGGAUUGUCAAGGUUCUACUCAGGGAAAGCAAGAUCAUUUGUUUGUAUCUUUGAUGUUAAAUGCCUUGAAGAUCUCAAGAAACCAACCCAACUUCUUGAUUUUGAUGAUGAUGAUGAUGCGUACACGAAGAGGAAGAAGAAGAAUAAGCAAUCAUCUUCAUCUUCAUUUUCUGCUGCUGUCAACAGCAAUGUUAACUAUCAAAACUACCCUUGUCGUAGAGUUUCUAGUAGCACACAUUGUUCCUCACCUUGUGUUAGUGCUUAGAUUAAAAAGAAAACGGGUUCUCAAUUUAUCACAAACCUUCAUCAAUACGUUAUACAGUAUUAACAUCCCGUUCACAAUCAAUUUUGAGUUUUUUUCCUUUAAAAUGUUUUGGUGCUUCUUUGCACCAUAUUGUA